This 909-nucleotide ribosomal RNA is filed under the name marine metagenome. RNAcentral's name for it is "bacterial SSU rRNA". It matches the Rfam family "Bacterial small subunit ribosomal RNA", at positions 8 to 965 of the family's 1533-position model. The record is from RNAcentral.
AGAGUUUGAUCAUGGCUCAGAACGUACGCUGGCGGCACGCCUAACACAUGCAAGUCGAACGAAGUAGCAAUACUUAGUGGCAGACGGGUGAGUAACAUGUGGGUAUCUACCCUUUGGCCUGGAAUAACACGAGGAAACUUGUGCUAAUACCGGAUAAGUCUUUACGGAGAAAGCUUUAUGCACCAUUGGAUGAGCCCGCACUUGAUUAGUUUGUUGGUAGGGUAAUGGCCUACCAAGACUAUGAUCAAUAGCUGAUUUGAGAGGAUGAUCAGCCACAUUGGGACUGAGACACGGCCCAAACUCCUACGGGAGGCAGCAGUGGGGAAUCUUGCACAAUGGAGGAAACUCUGAUGCAGCGAUGCCGCGUGAGUGAAGAAGGCCUUUGGGUUGUAAAGCUCUUUCGUCGGGGAAGAAAAUGACUGUACCCGAAUAAGAAGGUCCGGCUAACUUCGUGCCAGCAGCCGCGGUAAUACGAAGGGACCUAGCGUAGUUCGGAAUUACUGGGCUUAAAGAGUUCGUAGGUGGUUGAAAAAGUUGGUGGUGAAAUCCCAGAGCUUAACUCUGGAACUGCCAUCAAAACUUUUCAGCUAGAGUAUGAUAGAGGAAAGCAGAAUUUCUAGUGUAGAGGUGAAAUUCGUAGAUAUUAGAAAGAAUACCAAUUGCGAAGGCAGCUUUCUGGAUCAUUACUGACACUGAGGAACGAAAGCAUGGGUAGCGAAGAGGAUUAGAUACCCUCGUAGUCCAUGCCGUAAACGAUGUGUGUUAGACGUUGGAAAUUUAUUUUCAGUGUCGCAGGGAAACCGAUAAACACACCGCCUGGGGAGUACGACCGCAAGGUUAAAACUCAAAUGAAUUGACGGGGACCCGCACAAGUAGUGGAGCAUGUGGUUUAAUUCGAAGAUACGCGCA